CAGUCGCCGCGGGAAUACGAAGGGUGCAAGCGUUACUCGGAAUUACUGGGCGUAAAGCGUGCGUAGGUGGUGGUUUAAGUCCGUUGUGAAAGCCCUGGGCUCAACCUGGGAAUUGCAGUGGAUACUGGGUCACUAGAGUGUGGUAGAGGAUAGUGGAAUUUCCGGUGUAGCAGUGAAAUGCGUAGAGAUCGGGAGGAACAUCAGUGGCGAAGGCGGCCAUCUGGGACAACACUGACGCUGAGGCACGAAAGCGUGGGGAGCAAACAGGAUUAGAUACCCGCGUAGUCCCUGUCUCUUAUAC
Molecule: ribosomal RNA, 301 nt
Filed under: uncultured bacterium
Lineage: Bacteria
Description: partial 16S ribosomal RNA
Rfam family: Bacterial small subunit ribosomal RNA
Source: RNAcentral